GCAAGAUAUACAGAAAAAAGAAAAAAUCAAUUUCAAAGUUGAGAAAUUUUUCCAGCAAACAGUGCAAAACUGCACGUUGAAUUUUUAAUAUUCAAGAAGAUGAACAAGAACCCAAAAUUGUCAAUCCUAUAUGAUGAGGUAGAGCUGAACUCCUCAUACAGAGAAAGGAAAUAAAAACACAUUACAAGGUCAGCUUGUAAAUCAGCCCUCUAAACAAAGCAAAUCAACCCCACUAUGAAUCAAAACUAGCACUACAACUAGUGGUGGGUGCUUGAAGCCAGCGCCCCCACUCAUCACAAGCAACAAAGAAGCAGAUAAUGAAAAAAAAAAAAAAGAGAAGCAGCUUGUAAAUCGUUCUACAGAGGGGAAAAUGAAGAAGAAGAAGAAGGAAAUCUGAGCAUGAAGUAUAAUAUAGAACUAGAAAAAACCUGGUGCUAUAUACCCCACUGUGGCAAGAGUGUUUGUAUGUAUCAUCUGCUCCUCUUUACCUAGGAGUUUUGCAAGCCCAAAAUCACUUACAUGUGCAACCAUAUCCUCAUCUAGCAAGAUAUUGCUGGGCUUCAGAUCGCAGUGUAUUACAGGAGCAGGUUGAUGAUGAUGAAGAUACUCCAAUGCGGAUGCAACAUCUAUCAUGAUGUCUAGUCUCUGCUGGAUAUCCAAAAAAUAAUUGUAAGAAUACAACCAUUUUUCUAAGCUUCCAUUAGGCAUGUAAUCGAGUAUUAAGGCUUUGAAAUCGUUGCUGGAGCAACUGUUGAUGAUUUUGGCAAGAUUUCUGUGACGAAAAUUGCUCAUCACUGCACAUUCAGCAUCAAAACUCCUCCAGACCUCAUUUUGUUGCAAAUUGAAAACCUUUAUAGCAACAUUCAUUCCAUCCGAAAGUGUUCCUUUAUAAACAGAACCAAAACUUCCCCUUCCAAGCAGGUUGCUUUGAUCAAAUCCAUUAGUUGCUUGCGAAAGUUCUAGGUAUGAGAUUUUUCUCCAUGUCAUGGACAGAGGAAAUAAAUUUGCUUCUACCGAAGAUCUUCUAUUCCUGUCUUGGCAUCCGGUCAAUGCAAAAAUGAUAACCAAAAGAAGUAGUACUGCUAAUGCUCCGAUGGGCAAAAUAUAAUUCAGUAGAUGCAUAAUUUCUCUCGGAUGUUGUUUUCCAUUUCUGCACUGUGGGACUUGCAGACGUGGAGCACCACAAAGAGCAUCAUUCCUCAUGUAUGACUGAGCUGAGAAGUUCAAAAAAGGUCCUUGCGUAGGAAUUGGCCCCCGGAGUCUAUUGCAGGAAACGUUAAAAUAUUUGAGAUAUGAGAUCUUCUCCAGUGACUUCGGUAUCUCUCCUGAGAGAUUGUUGUUGGAAAGAUCCAAAAACUCCAAGCUUAUCAAGCCACCAAAUGAUUCAGGUAUAGACUCUUGCAAUUUGUUAUGUGCCAGGGAGAGGUAAAAAAGAUCUCUGAGGCUUCCGAUGGUGUAUGGAAUGUUACCUGACAAUCGAUUCCUUGAUAUAUCUAGCUUAGUCAUGACCCUCAAAUUUUUUAUUUCUAAUGGAAGGCAACCGCCAAUGAAGUUCGAUGACAAGUUCACUUCCAGGAUAUAUGUUAGGCUCCACAGGCUUAACGGUAUGGUGGAAGUAAGCUUGUUGGAGCUCAAGUUUAGAUACCUUAGAGAAGUCAGAUUUGACAAGCACGGAUGUAAAGGUCCAUAGAGCUUAUUCCCUCCCAAUGAUAAUCUGCCCAAAGUUUGUAAUUGGCAAAGAUCAGGCGGUAUUGAUCCUUGUAAUUCAUUGCCUUCAAGACGCAAAACUUGGAGCUUCUGCAUCCUUCCCAGGGUUUUUGGAAUAGGUCCUGUCAGCUCAUUAUUCGAGAGGUUCAACACAAUAAGGUUGCUUAAAUUCCCAAUUUCCAUUGGAAUGCUGCCUUUGAUAUUGCAAAAAUCUGCAUAAAUAAUUUCUAGAGAUGAAGAAAGAUUCCCAAUUUGAGUUGGAAGGAGGCCGUUUAUCGGAUUCUCUGAAAUCCAUAAGUUUUUCAAAUACUUGCAAUUUGUCAAUGAUGCCAGAAAAUUAAUUUCUGAUGUGGAUGAUUCAGUUGUCAGAAAAUUCGCUUUGAAGGCGAGGCUCUGGAGGAGUCUCAAAUUGCCAAGCGCGGCAGGAACAACACCAGAGAAUGAGUUCCAAGACAGAUGCAGGGUAGUAAGCCCAGAAGCAUUAGAGAUGGAGCUGGGAAUUGGUCCAUCAAGUUUAUUUUCCCAUAGAAGAAGUACUUCCAAGUUUGGAAGCCAGCGGCCGACAGUUGGUGGAAGACGGCCUGAAAGAGAGUUUUUUUGCAGUCCAAUGGCUUGUAAUACCGAGUUAUUAAAGAUUGAGAAUGGAAUGGUGCCAGUAAGGUUGUUUGCUCCCAACGACAAGAACCGCAAAUAACGAAGUUGGCCAAUCUCAUCUGGUAUUUCACCUGUGACAAAAUUAAUGCUUAGGAUUUGAUACACCACGACACUUCCAAAUCUCUCAUUGAAAAUUUUGUCAGUGUUUCACAACCCGAGGCAAUUGUAAUAAAGAACAAAUAAAUGAAUAUUAAAUACCAGAUAAGAUUCAACUAAAUUUGGGCUAUGCGGAGGCAGAUCGGGCCUCCUGUCUCCAACUUUAUCUCAGG
RNAcentral lists this unclassified non-coding RNA (2630 nucleotides) under Hevea brasiliensis (rubber tree). Lineage: Eukaryota; Viridiplantae; Streptophyta; Magnoliopsida; Malpighiales; Euphorbiaceae. The record is from RNAcentral.